RNAcentral lists this ribosomal RNA (271 nucleotides) under uncultured bacterium. Its description in RNAcentral is "partial 16S ribosomal RNA". It matches the Rfam family "Bacterial small subunit ribosomal RNA", at positions 524 to 794 of the family's 1533-position model. The record is from RNAcentral.
GACGAGGGAUCCUAGCGUUGUUCGGAAUUACUGGGCGUAAAGCGCGCGCAGGCGGUUAUGUAAGACAGAUGUGAAAUCCCCGGGCUUAACCUGGGAACUGCAUUUGUGACUGCAUAGCUAGAGUACGGUAGAGGGGGAUGGAAUUCCGCGUGUAGCAGUGAAAUGCGUAGAUAUGCGGAGGAACACCGAUGGCGAAGGCAAUCCCCUGGACCUGUACUGACGCUCAUGCACGAAAGCGUGGGGAGCAAACAGGAUUAGAUACCCCUGUAGU